GCUGGUUUAGUUUAGUGGAAGAACGUCUGCCUUGUAAGCAGGAUGUGGGGGUUCAAUUCCCUCAACCAGCACCA
Molecule: transfer RNA, 74 nt
Filed under: Paenibacillus thiaminolyticus
Lineage: Bacteria; Bacillati; Bacillota; Bacilli; Caryophanales; Paenibacillaceae
Description: tRNA-Thr
Rfam family: tRNA
About the family: Transfer RNA (tRNA) molecules are approximately 80 nucleotides in length. Their secondary structure includes four short double-helical elements and three loops (D, anti-codon, and T loops).
Source: RNAcentral